RNAcentral lists this ribosomal RNA (253 nucleotides) under uncultured bacterium. Its description in RNAcentral is "partial 16S ribosomal RNA". It matches the Rfam family "Bacterial small subunit ribosomal RNA", at positions 524 to 776 of the family's 1533-position model. The record is from RNAcentral.
UACGGAGGGGGCUAGCGUUGUUCGGAAUUACUGGGCGUAAAGCGCACGUAGGCGGCUUUGUAAGUUAGAGGUGAAAGCCCGGGGCUCAACUCCGGAAUUGCCUUUAAGACUGCAUCGCUAGAAUUGUGGAGAGGUAAGUGGAAUUCCGAGUGUAGAGGUGAAAUUCGUAGAUAUUCGGAAGAACACCAGUGGCGAAGGCGACUUACUGGACACAUAUUGACGCUGAGGUGCAAAAGCGUGGGGAGCAAACAGG